Molecule: ribosomal RNA, 465 nt
Filed under: Vreelandella stevensii
Lineage: Bacteria; Pseudomonadati; Pseudomonadota; Gammaproteobacteria; Oceanospirillales; Halomonadaceae
Description: partial 16S ribosomal RNA
Rfam family: Bacterial small subunit ribosomal RNA
Source: RNAcentral
CCUACGGGUGGCUGCAGUGGGGAAUAUUGGACAAUGGGGGCAACCCUGAUCCAGCCAUGCCGCGUGUGUGAAGAAGGCCCUCGGGUUGUAAAGCACUUUCAGUGAGGAAGAACGCCUGGUGGUUAAUACCCAUCAGGAAAGACAUCACUCACAGAAGAAGCACCGGCUAACUCCGUGCCAGCAGCCGCGGUAAUACGGAGGGUGCGAGCGUUAAUCGGAAUUACUGGGCGUAAAGCGCGCGUAGGUGGCUUGAUAAGCCGGUUGUGAAAGCCCCGGGCUCAACCUGGGAACGGCAUCCGGAACUGUCAAGCUAGAGUGCAGGAGAGGAAGGUAGAAUUCCCGGUGUAGCGGUGAAAUGCGUAGAGAUCGGGAGGAAUACCAGUGGCGAAGGCGGCCUUCUGGACUGACACUGACACUGAGGUGCGAAAGCGUGGGUAGCAAACAGGAUUAGAUAGCCUAGUAGUC